RNAcentral lists this ribosomal RNA (1353 nucleotides) under Staphylococcus aureus. RNAcentral describes it as "partial 23S ribosomal RNA". It matches the Rfam family "Bacterial large subunit ribosomal RNA", at positions 1487 to 2839 of the family's 2925-position model. The record is from RNAcentral. Lineage: Bacteria; Bacillati; Bacillota; Bacilli; Caryophanales; Staphylococcaceae.
CGAAGCGUGCGAUUGGAUUGCACGUCUAAGCAGUAAGGCUGAGUAUUAGGCAAAUCCGGUACUCGUUAAGGCUGAGCUGUGAUGGGGAGAAGACAUUGUGUCUUCGAGUCGUUGAUUUCACACUGCCGAGAAAAGCCUCUAGAUAGAAAAUAGGUGCCCGUACCGCAAACCGACACAGGUAGUCAAGAUGAGAAUUCUAAGGUGAGCGAGCGAACUCUCGUUAAGGAACUCGGCAAAAUGACCCCGUAACUUCGGGAGAAGGGGUGCUCUUUAGGGUUAACGCCCAGAAGAGCCGCAGUGAAUAGGCCCAAGCGACUGUUUAUCAAAAACACAGGUCUCUGCUAAACCGUAAGGUGAUGUAUAGGGGCUGACGCCUGCCCGGUGCUGGAAGGUUAAGAGGAGUGGUUAGCUUCUGCGAAGCUACGAAUCGAAGCCCCAGUAAACGGCGGCCGUAACUAUAACGGUCCUAAGGUAGCGAAAUUCCUUGUCGGGUAAGUUCCGACCCGCACGAAAGGCGUAACGAUUUGGGCACUGUCUCAACGAGAGACUCGGUGAAAUCAUAGUACCUGUGAAGAUGCAGGUUACCCGCGACAGGACGGAAAGACCCCGUGGAGCUUUACUGUAGCCUGAUAUUGAAAUUCGGCACAGCUUGUACAGGAUAGGUAGGAGCCUUUGAAACGUGAGCGCUAGCUUACGUGGAGGCGCUGGUGGGAUACUACCCUAGCUGUGUUGGCUUUCUAACCCGCACCACUUAUCGUGGUGGGAGACAGUGUCAGGCGGGCAGUUUGACUGGGGCGGUCGCCUCCUAAAAGGUAACGGAGGCGCUCAAAGGUUCCCUCAGAAUGGUUGGAAAUCAUUCAUAGAGUGUAAAGGCAUAAGGGAGCUUGACUGCGAGACCUACAAGUCGAGCAGGGUCGAAAGACGGACUUAGUGAUCCGGUGGUUCCGCAUGGAAGGGCCAUCGCUCAACGGAUAAAAGCUACCCCGGGGAUAACAGGCUUAUCUCCCCCAAGAGUUCACAUCGACGGGGAGGUUUGGCACCUCGAUGUCGGCUCAUCGCAUCCUGGGGCUGUAGUCGGUCCCAAGGGUUGGGCUGUUCGCCCAUUAAAGCGGUACGCGAGCUGGGUUCAGAACGUCGUGAGACAGUUCGGUCCCUAUCCGUCGUGGGCGUAGGAAAUUUGAGAGGAGCUGUCCUUAGUACGAGAGGACCGGGAUGGACAUACCUCUGGUGUACCAGUUGUCGUGCCAACGGCAUAGCUGGGUAGCUAUGUGUGGACGGGAUAAGUGCUGAAAGCAUCUAAGCAUGAAGCCCCCCUCAAGAUGAGAUUUCCCAACUUCGGUUAUAAGAUCCCUC